UAUAAUAUAGCUUUAUGAGUUUUGUAGUUUUUGUGGUACUUGCAUUUUAACAAAAAUAAUGGAAUUAGUCUGCUUAUAGAAUUAUAGGCAUCAUUGAACCUCAACUAAAUAUGUAAAUAGAAGAUGACUAGAUAUCAUUUUACUAUUUUUAUCUCUGAGGAAGAAUUUGGGUGACAAAUUUCUGUGCCUUUUUUUUUCUUUUGGUAAGAGCAUUUCUGAAAUUAUACCAAACAAGCAGCCAUAUACUGUAGCAAAUCAUAAGGCCAACCCCAAUUUUAUAGAUGGUUGUCCAAGUUUCUGAAAACUAUAAUGUAAUCAGUAUUUUGACAUUAAAACCAUAUAUUUUGCCUCUGGUUCUCAAUUUUCUCAAUUUCUUCAUCUAUAGAAUGAGUGUAUCAAUACUUAGAUGUUCCAAAUCUAUUCUAGCUUCACCCAACUUAUUUUAUAAUUGUUUUAGCUCUGAAAUUCUAUAAUUAUUACAUCAAAUUGGACUAGAUACUGAAUAUAUUAAUAAUUGCAUUGUUUAAUAGAGGGAAUUUUAACAUCUUUGUAUAUUUCAGAAUCAUCCCUGUGAAUUAAGAUUGCUUUAAUUUUUGCUAUGCAAAGAUACUAAUUAGUGGAGUGUUACGGUUUCUAUGGCCUAGUAAUGUUUACUAGGUGAAAUAAAAACAUACUUCUUUUCUGUGCCCUAAAUUCCAAUUUAAAAGGAUAAGAGAAAAAAACAAGAUUUUUGUGACCUUGCUGGACAUUUUAGCUAAGAUUUUGAUUUGAAAGUACAUUUUAAUAGAAAAUAGUAAUGCAAUAUUGUUGUGUCACAGAGUCUUAAAUAGGAGGGUUCAUAAAUGAGGUAACUUGUUUUUCUGGACUUAUGGCCCAUUGGGGAAAGACAGAUUGUUUUUACUACUUAGAAUGUUUUCAUGCCUUUUUGUGCUGUAUCAGGAAUAUAACAACAGCUAUUAUUUUGCCAGCACAUUAUGGGCAGGGGCCCUAUAGAAAAAGACAAGGGAUCUUGGUCAGUAAGUUUCCUGACCAAGCUGCUGAACCAAAGCCAAAGAAAGUUUUUAAACAUCUGCAAGCUUUUUUGUUAGUACUGAUGGGGCAGUUUGCCUAUUUUUCUCUCUCAGAUUUAUGAUUAUUUUAUUAUUUUACUGUAAUUAUUUUAAGACCAUUUUUUAUUAGGCUAGAAAGAGAACUGUAAGUGAAUGUAUGAUACUUUACUAAUGGGGAAAAGGUGAGAAUAAUAGCUCAACUGGAAACAAGAAAGCUAAAAUUGUGGUAGCACUUCCUCCUGGUAUUUAGCUUAGGCUUAAGCAGAGUUGUCUGAAAGUUAACAGGAAAAGAAACUACUUGUGAAGUGUUAAAACCACAACCUAAGAGAAAUUUUUUUUAUCAUAUCAUAUUAUACUGUAUUAAGAACUACUUGUCACAGUUAACCUGAUUUAGUAGUAUUCAAUAAAUAUACUUUCCCUCAAACCUCAGGUAAAAACAAACAAAAAACACUGAAUCCCAGCAUCAGUAGCUGGUUUGUUUCUUUUUCAUUCUCCUGGAGCCAAGUGUGUAACAAUAGUAGUGCCGUGCCAUCUUUCUAUUAGGCAAAGAAUGACAGUUAAGCUUUCCAUUCCUCACAAAAGAACUAUACUCUAAAGUUAAAAUUCAUAUUAAUUAUUUGAAACUCUGAACUUACUUUCUCACUCAGACAAACCCUUAAGCCAACCCACAAAAGCUGAUUUUAACUGUGUAGGGUUGCUGAACUAUAAAGCUGGAAGCAGAAAUGAAGUUUAGAUUCUACUCUAGCAAUAUUUCUAUGAAAAAAAAA
Molecule: long non-coding RNA, 1816 nt
Organism: Sapajus apella (tufted capuchin)
Lineage: Eukaryota; Metazoa; Chordata; Mammalia; Primates; Cebidae
Exons: 4
Source: RefSeq, a predicted model, not a curated record